RNAcentral lists this long non-coding RNA (1929 nucleotides) under Pogona vitticeps (central bearded dragon). RNAcentral's name for it is "lncRNA (ENSPVIG00000020657.1)". The record is from RNAcentral. Lineage: Eukaryota; Metazoa; Chordata; Lepidosauria; Squamata; Agamidae.
GAAUGAGUUCCAGAGCCUAUGCCUCCUCUAGAUCCAAUGCCUCCUCCAGAUCCAAUGUCGCCUCCAGAUCCAACGUUGCUUCCAGAUCCAACGUUGCCUCCAGAUCCAACGUCGCCUCCAGAUCCCAUCCGGGCUCCAGAUCAACAUUCGCAGCCAGAAGGGAAACGAGCAGACAGCAGAGAACAUUUUGGUAUCAUUUACAAGAGUUGAUUUCGCCGGACAUUUAUAUAUAUCUUGCAUUAAUGAUGUCCCUGGCACUAUUUUUUGCUGCAGCUGGGAUGACUGCUUUGUAUCAUCACGAAGCAAACAAAACAGCCAUCCUAAAUAGUGCAGCUGAACGUAUUAAGACAUUUACAAUCGCAAAGGAGCCAUCAGUGAAAGGCAAAAACGAUACAGAAAUACUUGCAAAAACUCAGAAGUUAGCCGAUGAGUUGGCUGUAUGGACCUUAAAGACCAUUCAACUGGAAGCUGCAAUUGAGGACAUUUCUAGAAAGCUUCAUCUAGGCUGGGUGCUACACAAGGAGACCUUGUAUUUAUUUGAUGAACUGCUAAAGACAUGGGAAGAAUCGAGACAGUUUUGUGAGGAGGGACACGCCACGUUGGUUUGUAUUAAUAGUAGAGAAGAGGAGGUCUUCCUAGAAAAUGAAAUCCGUACCUCACACGAGGACUUCUGGAUUGGCCUGAUUUUUAAGGGGGACUGGACAUGGGUUGAUGGCUCAAAGUAUGAACACAAGUGAGUUAAGUUUGUCAACAAAACCUCCCUGUGUUUUGUACUGUAGAAAGUAAUUCAUUCUUCUGUUUAGUGAAAUAUCGUCUUCUUUGCAUCUGUUUAGAACUUAGUACCAGAGUUGAUUUCCUUGGUAUUACAGCACCCAUAAUAAUAUUUUUAAUAUCCAAAAAAGGUUGGUAGAAGAACACCAAACAAUAUGUUGGUGUUCAUUAAAAUUUAUGUAAAGUUGAGGUGUCAAACCCUGCCUAAAUAUGCAAGGUCAUUGCACGUCGUGAUGAAGGUAUAAAUAUCUUUGUUAAAAAGGGCUGCUUUAAACAGUGUCGGCGGAAAAGGACAUCCCUCUUUCAGUAUGUCUGUGGCAUUCUGCGUAGAAUGCCAGGAAACAGGUAACAAGACGUCCUCUAUUAAUUCCAGGGAAUGUUAAAAAGUUACUAUAGAGCAAUUUUUUUAAAAGAGAGAAAAGAAUCCUAUUGUCCCAAAGUAAACUUUUAAACAGUUUUUCAGUUCCCAAAUUGCUGUGCUUCACAAAAUGCAUAAUCUCAAAGGAUUUGAAGAGCUUGAGCCAGGAAUAGAAAGAUUGAUGAAGGUGACAAUACAGAAGCAUGUUCACUGCCUUCCAAGGUCUAGAAAUUGCUCUCAUUGGCAACUGACAAAGAGAGGUGAAGGCACAAUUGGUUACAGUUGUGUUGUUGGUUUGGAGAAUGUCUCUGUUCGUUUCCCUAGAUCUUUGGAGAUUAUUCAUCUUACCAAAUGUUAUAUCUCUUUCAAAGGUUACCCUGCGACAACAGGUUUUUUUUAAAAAAAAUCUUUUGAAUUUGCUCUUUAAAAAUCUUUUUAAACUCUCUGAUGUUAGUUGAUUUCUCAGUAGCCACCUCCUGACAGUUUGGUUUCUCCGCUUUGAAAGCCUUGGUUACAUGGACAAGGGGAAUUGUGCCCUGUUCAUGCUACACUGGUCCAUUUAACCAAGGAUGCUGUAUAAUCGGGGUUGGGGUUAGGGUGCUUGUCGCGUGCUUCUAUUCUGAACUUGUUUUUAGAUAUGGCAGCCAUUGGAGGAGAGAAUCUAAGUAGUGGACUGUAUCAAACAAGGUGGGAAGUAACAAUACCAUUUUCCUGAAUUAAAAGGCCUCCUAAAUAUAUGAUUUGCUCCUUAAAAAGCUGCUGUUAUAAAUAAUAAAACAUUUCUUCUCUGUUCGGUAGCA